AUGAACGCUGGCGGCGUGCCUAAUACAUGCCAGUCGAGCGAACGGACGAGAAGCUUGCUUCUCUGAUGUUAGCGGCGGACGGGUGAGUAACACGUGGAUAACCUACCUAUAAGACUGGGAUAACUUCGGGAAACCGUAGCUAAUACCGGAUAAUAUUUUGAACCGCAUGGUUCAAAAGUGAAAGACGGUCUUGCUGUCACUUAUAGAUGGAUCCGCGCUGCAUUAGCUAGUUGGUAAGGUAACGGCUUACCAAGGCAACGAUGCAUAGCCGACCUGAGAGGGUGAUCGGCCACACUGGAUCUGAGACACGGUCCAGACUCCUACGGGAGGCAGCAGUAGGGAAUCUUCCGCAAUGGGCGAAAGCCUGACGGAGCAACGCCGCGUGAGUGAUGAAGGUCUUCGGAUCGUAAAACUCUGUUAUUAGGGAAGAACAUAUGUGUAAGUAACUGUGCACAUCUUGACGGUACCUAAUCAGAAAGCCACGGCUAACUACGUG
RNAcentral lists this ribosomal RNA (496 nucleotides) under uncultured bacterium. RNAcentral's name for it is "partial 16S ribosomal RNA". It matches the Rfam family "Bacterial small subunit ribosomal RNA", at positions 29 to 507 of the family's 1533-position model. The record is from RNAcentral.